This 230-nucleotide ribosomal RNA is filed under the name uncultured bacterium. RNAcentral describes it as "partial 16S ribosomal RNA". It matches the Rfam family "Bacterial small subunit ribosomal RNA", at positions 562 to 791 of the family's 1533-position model. The record is from RNAcentral.
AAAGGGUGCGUAGGCGGUUUGACAAGUCUUAUGUGAAAUCUCUGGGCUCAACCCAGAGUCUGCAUGGGAAACUGUCGGGCUUGAGUAUGGGAGAGGUGAGUGGAAUUUCCGGUGUAGCGGUGAAAUGCGUAGAUAUCGGAAGGAACACCUGUGGCGAAAGCGGCUCACUGGACCAUAACUGACGCUGAUGCACGAAAGCUAGGGGAGCAAACAGGAUUAGAUACCCCUGU